Cucumis melo (muskmelon) is the source of this 1063-nucleotide long non-coding RNA. RefSeq lists it as uncharacterized. The transcript has 2 exons. The record is from RefSeq and is a predicted model, not a curated record. NCBI's taxonomy places the organism in Eukaryota, Viridiplantae, Streptophyta, Magnoliopsida, Cucurbitales, Cucurbitaceae.
GAUACCACGAAUGCUAGGUUGGACUUACAAGAUCUGAAGAUAAGAAAGGAUUUACAUCUUGUAGAAGUGGGUAACCGAUUGGUGAAGCCACAUGCGAGCUACACGUUGACUACCAGUGAACGAGUAGAGUUUUGUAAGUUUCUGAAAUCAGUUAAGUUUUCCGAUGGAUUUGUUUCCAAUAUAUCGAGAUGUGUGCAUGAAAGAGAGGGGAAAAUAUCAGGACUAAAAACGCAUGAUUGUCAUGUUUUAUUACAUCGACUGCUACCAAUUGGUAUUCGAGCAUUCUUACCGAAGAACGUAUACACUGCUAUAACUGAAUUAUGUAAUUUUUUUCGUGACUUGUGCGCCCGAACGAUAAGAGUAAGUGAUCUAGACAGAUUGCAAGCAGAUAUCAUAAUCAUACUUUGUAAGUUGGAAAGAAUAUUUCCACCUGUCUUUUUUAGCGUUAUGGUGCACCUUGCCGUUCACUUACCAUAUGAAACGAAGAUUACUGGUCUGGUUUCUUAUUAAUUAUCCACUUUUAUUAUAUAUUUUUGCGCGUUACCUAACAUAAUUUUUAAAUUUGUUGCAGAAUCAAAUGCUGAAACUCCAAUCCCAGCCUACCCCAGAGGGUAGUCAGCCACUCUCUGAGGAUGAGAUAUGCGAUCAGGUGUUGGGUAGACGACCAGGCUACUCAAAAGGCCUUGGUUGGGGACCCAAGCCGAAGGCCCGCAGAACGGCAAGUGCAAGCAGUUCGUCGACAUCUUGUUCGCAGUCCACACAAAAAGAGAUUGAAUUACAAGCUAAACUUCAUGAAGCUUUGGAACGGAUUGAAGUACAAGAUAGAAAUCACCAAGCAUUAGCUUCACAAGUGGAAGCUAUGGAAAAGAUGAUUGAAGACCUAACUCGUGCACAACAGGGACCACCACAUGAUCCCUAGCUCUGCGGACCGAAGGUGUAGAAUGACGCGCAUACGCACCUCGUUGGGAGAUUGGGUCUUAUGUUUAUGUUUUUUCUAUAUUGAGAACUAUAUUUUCUUGUAGUCAACUUAUUCGUAUUAUUAAUUUUAAUUCUAUUUUUUUAA